GGGGUGUUAAAAGGCCGUUACUUCCCGAACACGGAUUUCAUGCAUGCUACUGUUCCUCGUAACGCCUCGGCCACCUGGCGAGCGAUUGUUGCCGGGAGCGCGGCACUGGAUGUUGGCCUGCUAAAGCGGCUUGGCAAUGGUUUGUCCACGCGCGUAUGGCAGGAUGGAUGGCUACCAGGCAAGCUCUCGUUGCGGCCCACUGCACAGAUCGGUUCAACACCUAUCAAUCUAGUUUCAUACCUGAUCGAUGAUGUGACUUGGUCCUGGAAAGCUGGCCUUGUUCGAGACAAUUUUAUACCACCGGAUGCUGACACUAUUUUGAAUAUUCCACUCAGACAAGGAGGUGGUGAUGAU
RNAcentral lists this ribosomal RNA (354 nucleotides) under Triticum aestivum (bread wheat). RNAcentral's name for it is "partial small subunit ribosomal RNA". The record is from RNAcentral. Lineage: Eukaryota; Viridiplantae; Streptophyta; Magnoliopsida; Poales; Poaceae.